Molecule: ribosomal RNA, 409 nt
Filed under: uncultured bacterium
Lineage: Bacteria
Description: bacterial SSU rRNA
Rfam family: Bacterial small subunit ribosomal RNA
Source: RNAcentral
AACGAACGCUGGCGGCGUGGAUAAGACAUGCAAGUCGAACGCUGGCCAUCGGGUAGCAAUAUUCGGUGGUCGGAGUGGCGCAAGGGUGCGUAACACGUGGGUAAUUUGCCGCGAAGCCUGGGAUAACCCCGAGAAAUCGGGGCUAAUGCCGGAUGUGACUGCUGGGAGGCAUCUCUCGGCAUUCGAAGUUGGGGACCGCAAGGCCUGACACUUCGCGAUAAGCCCGCGGCCUAUCAGCUAGUUGGCGGGGUAACGGCCCACCAAGGCUAAGACGGGUAGCUGGUCUGAGAGGACGACCAGCCACACUGGAACUGAGACACGGUCCAGACACCUACGGGUGGCAGCAGUCGAGUAAUUUUUCACAAUGGGGAAACCCUGAUGGAGCGACGCCGCGUGGGGGAUGAAUGGC